GCCUCUGAAGCACUGUUGGCUGUGCGGCAGACUUGUAAAAGAAUUCAGUAUUCUUCAUGUAAUCUGCAGGGAACGAGUUCGAAUCUCGUCAGAGGCU
RNAcentral lists this transfer RNA (97 nucleotides) under Acidobacteriota bacterium. Its description in RNAcentral is "Acidobacteria bacterium (anaerobic digester metagenome) tRNA-OTHER". It matches the Rfam family "tRNA". From Rfam's summary of the family: Transfer RNA (tRNA) molecules are approximately 80 nucleotides in length. Their secondary structure includes four short double-helical elements and three loops (D, anti-codon, and T loops). Further hydrogen bonds mediate the characteristic L-shaped molecular structure. tRNAs have two regions of fundamental functional importance: the anti-codon, which is responsible for specific mRNA codon recognition, and the 3' end, to which the tRNAs corresponding amino acid is attached (by aminoacyl-tRNA synthetases). tRNAs cope with the degeneracy of the genetic code in two manners: having more than one tRNA (with a specific anti-codon) for a particular amino acid; and 'wobble' base-pairing, i.e. permitting non-standard base-pairing at the 3rd anti-codon position. The record is from RNAcentral. Lineage: Bacteria; Pseudomonadati; Acidobacteriota.